UACGGGGGGAGCAAGCGUUGUUCGGAUUUACUGGGCGUAAAGGGCGCGUAGGCGGCGUGACAAGUCACUUGUGAAAUCUCCGGGCUUAACUCGGAACGGUCAAGUGAUACUGUCGUGCUAGAGUACAGAAGGGGCAACUGGAAUUCUCGGUGUAGCGGUGAAAUGCGUAGAUAUCGAGAGGAACACCUGCGGCGAAGGCGGGUUGCUGGGCAGUUGCUGACACUGAGGCGCGACAGCGUGGGGAGCAAACAGG
RNAcentral lists this ribosomal RNA (253 nucleotides) under uncultured bacterium. RNAcentral's name for it is "partial 16S ribosomal RNA". It matches the Rfam family "Bacterial small subunit ribosomal RNA", at positions 524 to 776 of the family's 1533-position model. The record is from RNAcentral.